This 434-nucleotide ribosomal RNA is filed under the name uncultured bacterium. Its description in RNAcentral is "bacterial SSU rRNA". It matches the Rfam family "Bacterial small subunit ribosomal RNA", at positions 355 to 786 of the family's 1533-position model. The record is from RNAcentral.
UGAGGAAUAUUGGUCAAUGGGCGAGAGCCUGAACCAGCCAAGUCGCGUGAGGGAAUAAGGCCCUACGGGUCGUAAACCUCUUUUGCCGGGGAGCAAGUCGGGGCUCGUGAGCCCUGAUGGAGAGUACCCGGAGAAAAAGCAUCGGCUAACUCCGUGCCAGCAGCCGCGGUAAUACGGAGGAUGCGAGCGUUAUCCGGAUUUAUUGGGUUUAAAGGGUGCGUAGGCGGGCUGGCAAGUCGGCGGUCAAAUGUCGGGGCUCAACCCCGGCCUGCCGUCGAAACUGCCGGCCUUGAGUGAGCGAGAAGCAGGCGGAAUGCGUGGUGUAGCGGUGAAAUGCAUAGAUAUCACGCAGAACCCCGAUUGCGAAGGCAGCCUGCCGGCGCUCAACUGACGCUGAGGCACGAAAGUGCGGGGAUCGAACAGGAUUAGAUACC